This is a long non-coding RNA of Oenanthe melanoleuca, 741 nucleotides long. RefSeq lists it as uncharacterized. The record is from RefSeq and is a predicted model, not a curated record. NCBI's taxonomy places the organism in Eukaryota, Metazoa, Chordata, Aves, Passeriformes, Muscicapidae. The transcript is spliced from 6 exons.
UCUCCUCAGUGGUGAAUGGACAAGUGAUUCCUUUCCUCUCCUCUCUAAUGUUGCUAAUAUAUAGGAAAUUCAAUAUAUUGCUCGCUAGGUUGGGGGGAAAAUGCAUCUUUGACCAGUUGCAGAUGCCAGCACAGUCUCUGAAUCAGUUCCUGUGGAGCUCAGGUCACGACAACAGUGAUGCUUUCAUCAGAUGAGAGGCUCUGCUACUGAGACUGGGGAAAACCUGCCCUGUUAGUUCCUGCCUUUGUGUCAGAACUGGUGAUCGUGUACAUGACUGCCAAGCAAACCACACUGGAGGCACAGGCACAGACAGAGCGCUGGACAGAAUGGUGCACAGAGUCCUCCUGUGCAAAACAAACAAAAAGGGCAAUAAGGAUCCUGUUUAACAGGCAUCUGGAGACUGACACUUCAGAAAAGUGUCAUAAAACAAGAACAGCUGCAUGAUUCCCACAGGCGGAGGACAAAGGUAGCAGUGAAGACAGACCAGCCAACAGGGCUUAAAGUUUUGCCAGACUCCUGGCAAAUACUACUGGAACUUACUUUAGUCUUCAACAGAACUGGAACUUUGUUACCAGAGAUAUAUAAUGGAAUUUCUCAGCUGAUAAAUGGAGCACUCCCACAAACUGAGAUUAGCAGCAAAGGGCAUCCAUUACAGCACAUACCUGAAAGCUUGCUGCUCUGCUCAAGGCUCCCGUGCAAGUCUUCAGCCUGCUGAGGGUGCUGUUUGUCACAGGUAGACUU